UGGUUUGUUUGGUUGGAAAAAAUUAGUUAUUAUCAGAAUAUUAAGUAACUAAUACAAAAUGGGAACUGCGUUUGUAGUGUGUAGCCUGAAAAACAAGUUUGUUGAUGAGUAAUUUGAUUAGUCAAAUCUUCUGUAGGCGAGACGGCGAACCGAAGACACCGCAGUCACAUCUAGAAAUCUGGGGUUUCGAGAGGUUCGCAUGAACUUUGUAGUGCUAAAGCUAUUUUAGGAACUUUUUUUUAGGAAUUUUAGUCAUUGGUUCACAUUUUGAACAUCUUUUACAUUCAUCUCUGUUUUUUAGGUUCCAGUUCAGUGUGAAGACAUUGAGAAAAUUUCAGUCGAGUGUCAGGAUGACCAAAUCGGUUUACAUGCUGAAGUGGUUUAUGAUCAAGGAUCUUUUCCAUUACGGAGGUGCACUCCAUUUGUGACUGCAUCACAUCAUCAUGGAGAAACACAAAAUCACAUUGCUGCUGGUCAAGUUCAGAUUUCAUUUGCUGUGAACAGACAUAUCAGAGCAUCUGCUGGAUUCUCCACUAACACAGAUGUUAUGGAUGCUGAAAGCCUAACAUUCACAGAUGGGCCCUCUACGGGUUGUAGGGCACAAGUUGAGAAUGAGAUAGGAAGCAACGGCCGAGAACUGAUGAAUGGAGAUGAACGCAAUAAAAUGAAGAAGCCGGUGCAUCCAAAAGAAAAGAAGAAAAAACUUCGAAAGAGGGCAAAAAAUCAAAUCAAAUCCCAAAAAGAUGAAGCCAAUCUCUAACUGUGAUGAAAAGUGCAUUUAUCACUUUUGCAACACUUUCUUGCUUUUAGAAUUUUUGCUAUUUUAAUCUUGAAUAGUAGUACAAUUGCAAUGUACUGUAUAGUCAAACGCUAGAUAAAGUAUGUUUAAUAUUACAAUUUUUAAAUUGUUUUUUAUGAUAUUUUUUAUGCUAAGCCUUUAUUAUGAAUUAGUUUUGAUAAGCUUGAUUAAAAUUUAAACUGAACUGUU
This is a non-coding RNA of Danio rerio (zebrafish), 988 nucleotides long. Lineage: Eukaryota; Metazoa; Chordata; Actinopteri; Cypriniformes; Danionidae. The record is from RefSeq and is a predicted model, not a curated record.